AUCAUCUACUUUCCCCCUCCUAUUAAAUGUUAACGCCUACCGAAAACUAUAAACACACAGAUACAAAUUCAUACACUCGCUCACAGGAUGUUAUAUAUAGUAUGCGCUCCAACCUAGCAGCAGUAAAAACAUAGCAGAUUUGAUAAGGAGAGGUGAACGAGAGGAUAUGGAGGAAGGAAGUAAGAUUGAGAUAGCGAGAGGGCGAAACACGGUGGGAGAAUGAAAAAUUGACAAAAAUAUCAGGAAAGAGAGGGAAGGAAAAUGUGAGACUAUAUAUUAUUAUCUGUGUAAAAGCUUCAUGAAGAAGAAAAGGAAGGAGAGAAUAUUCUAAACGAACGUAAGAAAAGCAGAGCCACCAUUUUACUGCAUCUCACGAGCAAAACAAACCUGCCUCAAUUGUGAGAGCUUCGACCAGCAACUGCUUUGCUUCCCAAUGGAGGAACAGCUUGUCAAUAGGAGUACAGUAGCGAGCUAUUUAACCAGUGAGCUUCAUGAAAACUAUCAUGGACACCUACACAUUUACAGAAUGUGUGUGAAGAUUCGAGCUACAUGAAAUGACUGGGUAAGAAAAGAAUGGCUGGAAAGAAGAGAUUUCUGUAUUGGGAAGUACACAAGAAACAUCCUCCCGGUACAAUUAGAAAACAUCUUGCUCCUGGUACGAAUUACGUUUCAUGAAACAGAUUCACGCAAAUUACUGAAGUUUGGAUAAGAUACCUGGAGAAAAAGGAUAACAGCCGAACUAAAUGCUCUGUGAUAUUAUAAUUACAUCACUGCUAUAUGAAACGAUACAAGCGCAUAAAACCUGAGACUGUCUCCUGUAAAACCUAAUACCAGGCUUCAUAUUUUGUAAUGGUUGCAAUAAAUGGGCGAAGAAAAGAGAAGUAACCGAAUGAAAUGCUAAAUAUUAAAACUGACCAACAGUAGCUUUCACUAUUUCAGUUGCAGAUUUUAUUUCAGACUUGAAAUGGUCAACGUGGACGCUCUUCAGACUAUUCGUGUGAUAAAUGUAAGAUCAAUCGUGCAAGAAUUGACUUAACCAUUCAACAAAUCUCAUAUUAUAUUUAUUUAAUUGUCUAUAAAUUUCCUAAGCAAAUUCAUCAUUUUGAAUGAAUUUUUCGCGAUUUUCAAAAUAAGCAAUUAACCAACUUAGAAAAUAUCAUUACUGAAGACGAAAAGAUUCCAUUUAUAAUGCAAUAUUUCCAUAAUCUUCUAUAAAAAAUGAAGUACAUUGUACAUCACAAAAAUAUAUUAUGAAAAAUAGAGGACUUUAUGAAGGCAUUCUGUCAAAACCAAAAUUUUAUGCAGAGCAAAAGAACUUUUCAAGUAAAAGUAAUGGUUUCUUUUUGACAAAACAUAAAACUUCUAAGUUGAUAUGUUGCGUUCAUGAUUUUCUCAAAGUGGCUAACAGCGUAUAGUAACUUAACGUUUAUUUUCUCACAUACGCACAGGGCUACAAUCUUCAAAGAAAAGAAUAAAGCUAAUUGAACCGACCUGCUACGUGACUGGUACGUAUCUUACUGAGCCCGGAUGGAUGAAAGACCUCAGCAGAAUUUGAGCUCAGAAUGUAGAGGCUGAUUUAAAGUUUGGUCUACUGUUUUUAUUCCAUCUCAUUUCCUUGUAGGAAUAUUAAUGCAUAUAACAUUAAAAGACAGCAAGCUCUACCAUAUUGUUCUUACAUCUCAAAUUGUAACUCUUCCUGAUUGUGACGUUUCCAUCCUUACAAAGCCUUUGAGAAUUUGAGCCAGCAUGUUAAAUAAAGAUACUUCUUUUAAUCCAG
Octopus sinensis (East Asian common octopus) is the source of this 1777-nucleotide long non-coding RNA. RefSeq lists it as uncharacterized. Lineage: Eukaryota; Metazoa; Mollusca; Cephalopoda; Octopoda; Octopodidae. The record is from RefSeq and is a predicted model, not a curated record. The transcript has 4 exons.